Molecule: ribosomal RNA, 252 nt
Filed under: uncultured bacterium
Lineage: Bacteria
Description: partial 16S ribosomal RNA
Rfam family: Bacterial small subunit ribosomal RNA
Source: RNAcentral
UACGAAGGGGGCUAGCGUUGCUCGGAAUCACUGGGCGUAAAGGGCGCGUAGGCGGCCGAUUAAGUCGGGGGUGAAAGCCUGUGGCUCAACCACAGAAUUGCCCUCGAUACUGGUUGGCUUGAGACCGGAAGAGGACAGCGGAACUGCGAGUGUAGAGGUGAAAUCGUAGAUAUUCGCAAGAACACCAGUGGCGAAGGCGGCUGUCUGGUCCGGUUCUGACGCUGAGGCGCGAAAGCGUGGGGAGCAAACAGG